This 154-nucleotide small nuclear RNA is filed under the name Terrapene triunguis (Three-toed box turtle). Its description in RNAcentral is "Terrapene carolina triunguis (Three-toed box turtle) U4 spliceosomal RNA (ENSTMTG00000007016.1)". It matches the Rfam family "U4 spliceosomal RNA". From Rfam's summary of the family: U4 small nuclear RNA (U4 snRNA) is a component of the major U2-dependent spliceosome. The structure of U4 snRNA from yeast and human has been reported. Lineage: Eukaryota; Metazoa; Chordata; Testudines; Emydidae. The record is from Rfam by way of RNAcentral.
AUCAUAGCCAUAGUAUCAUAGCCGAUGAGGUUAAUCCGAGGCGUGAUUAUUGCUUGUUGAAAUCUGUUAGGGUGAGAGAGUGCUUGAUUCAAAUCCUGCUUAGUCUGUUUAAGUUAGAAUUCAGACCUCAAAUUUAUUUAUAUUUCUUCGGUAA